RNAcentral lists this ribosomal RNA (460 nucleotides) under Vreelandella stevensii. RNAcentral's name for it is "partial 16S ribosomal RNA". It matches the Rfam family "Bacterial small subunit ribosomal RNA", at positions 338 to 795 of the family's 1533-position model. Lineage: Bacteria; Pseudomonadati; Pseudomonadota; Gammaproteobacteria; Oceanospirillales; Halomonadaceae. The record is from RNAcentral.
CCUACGGGGGGCUGCAGUAAGGAAUAUUGGACAAUGGACGAAAGUCUGAUCCAGCCAUGCCGCGUGAAGGAUUAAGGUCCUCUGGAUUGUAAACUUCUUUUAUAUGGGGCGAAAAAAGGGCAUUCUUGCUCACUUGACGGUACCAUAUGAAUAAGCACCGGCUAACUCCGUGCCAGCAGCCGCGGUAAUACGGAGGGUGCAAGCGUUAUCCGGAUUUACUGGGUUUAAAGGGUGCGUAGGCUGAUAGGUAAGUCAGUGGUGAAAUCCUGGAGCUUAACUCCAGAACUGCCAUUGAUACUAUCUAUCUUGAAUAUUGUGGAGGUUUGCGGAAUAUGUCAUGUAGCGGUGAAAUGCUUAGAUAUGACAUGGAACACCUAUUGCGAAGGCAGCAGGCUACACAUAUAUUGACGCUGAGGCACGAAAGCGUGGGGAUCAAACAGGAUUAGAUACCCUUGUAGUC